UACGGAGGGUGCAAGCGUUAAUCGGAAUUACUGGGCGUAAAGCGCACGCAGGUGGCUGAGUCAGUCGAUUGUGAAAGCCCUGGGCUUAACCUGGGAAUUGCAGUCGAUACUACUCGGCUCGAGUAUGGGAGAGGGCAGUGGAAUUCCCGGUGUAGCGGUGAAAUGCGCAGAUAUCAGGAGGAACACCGGUGGCGAAGGCGGGUCUCUGGGCCGAUACUGACGCUGAGGAGCGAAAGCGUGGGGAGCGAACAGG
Molecule: ribosomal RNA, 253 nt
Filed under: uncultured bacterium
Lineage: Bacteria
Description: partial 16S ribosomal RNA
Rfam family: Bacterial small subunit ribosomal RNA
Source: RNAcentral